AGUGAACGCUGGCGGUAGGCCUAACACAUGCAAGUCGAACGGCAGCACAGGAGAGCUUGCUCUCUAGGUGGCGAGUGGCGGACGGGUGAGGAAUACAUCGGAAUCUGCCCAGUCGUGGGGGAUAACGUAGGGAAACUUACGCUAAUACCGCAUACGACCUUCGGGUGAAAGAGGGGGAUCGCAAGACCUCUCGCGAUUGGAUGAGCCGAUGUCGGAUUAGCUAGUUAGCGGGGUAAUGGCCCACCAAGGCGACGAUCCGUAGCUGGUCUGAGGGGAUGAUCAGCCACACUGGAACUGAGACACGGUCCAGACUCCUACGGGAGGCAGCAGUGGGGAAUAUUGGACAAUGGGCGCAAGCCUGAUCCAGCCAUACCGCGUGGGUGAAGAAGGCCUUCGGGUUGUAAAGCCCUUUUGUUGGGAAAGAAAUCUUUCAGGCUAAUACCCUGGGAGGAUGACGGUACCCAAAGAAUAAGCACCGGCUAACUUCGUG
RNAcentral lists this ribosomal RNA (490 nucleotides) under uncultured bacterium. RNAcentral's name for it is "partial 16S ribosomal RNA". It matches the Rfam family "Bacterial small subunit ribosomal RNA", at positions 29 to 507 of the family's 1533-position model. The record is from RNAcentral.